This 207-nucleotide ribosomal RNA is filed under the name uncultured bacterium. RNAcentral's name for it is "partial 16S ribosomal RNA". It matches the Rfam family "Bacterial small subunit ribosomal RNA", at positions 568 to 774 of the family's 1533-position model. The record is from RNAcentral.
CUCGUAGGCGGUCUGUUGCGUCCGCUGUGAAAACUCGGGGCUUAACCCCGAGCCUGCAGUGGAUACGGGCAGACUAGAGGUAGGUAGGGGAGAAUGGAAUUCCCGGUGUAGCGGUGAAAUGCGCAGAUAUCGGGAGGAACACCGGUGGCGAAGGCGGUUCUCUGGGCCUUACCUGACGCUGAGGAGCGAAAGCGUGGGGAGCGAACA